Molecule: small RNA, 953 nt
Filed under: Malus domestica (apple)
Lineage: Eukaryota; Viridiplantae; Streptophyta; Magnoliopsida; Rosales; Rosaceae
Description: sRNA MD04G0099900
Source: RNAcentral
UGCUGAAUAAAAAACAGCGAGACCACGCAGUAUUUAAAGGACUGAAUCGCUAGGGUUUUAGUUUCUGUAAGCACAUUAGGGUCGCCGCGCCUUCUCUCCACAGCCAGGAUCUAGGGUUUUCUCCGAGCAGCGCCAAGGAAAUGGCUCCCGCCGCCCCCCAAGAGUGGGAUCUUCGUCGGCCUCAACAAGGGCCACAUCGUCACCAAGCGUGAAUUGCCUCCUCGCCCAUCUGACCGCAAGGGGAAAACUAGUAAGAGGGUGCACUUUGUGAGGAAUUUGAUCAGGGAAGUUGCGGGGUUUGCUCCCUAUGAGAAGAGGAUUACCGAGCUUUUGAAGGUCGGGAAGGACAAGCGUGCUCUUAAGGUGGCCAAGCGAAAGUUGGGUACCCACAAGAGGGCCAAGAAGAAGAGAGAGGAGAUGUCCAACGUUCUCCGCAAGAUGAGGUCUGGUGGUGAUAAGAAGUGAGCACUUGAAGGGUUGUCUUUAUGAAUGUAGUUCAGUAUCUCUAUUAGUUUUGGACAUGCAUUUUAUUAAGGGAUUUUUAGACAUGGUAUGAACUUUGUAAUUUUGAAUGUUUUGAGACUUUCGAUAUUUUCUAAGCAUCGGAUAUUUGCCCUUCAGUUCUCAAGGUAUGUCUUUCAAGUUUGUGAUUGACUUAGAUUUACUAAAUAGUUGACGCUUGUGGCAGCAUUUCUCUUAGUGUAGGGAGAGCCGUGGUUACUAGCGAUGGGCAAAAGUCUUGAUGUGCCCUCUGUACUAAAACUCGUUGGAUGUUUGAUUUUUGCGGUCAUCACUUCGUAGUAUGUGCCUUUCCCUAUAAUGUGUACACUAAAACUCGUUCGAUUUUUUUUUUAAUUCAUACGAUUUGAUAGUCGAAAUUAAAAGGUGUGUGAUGGCACUUCCGUCUAGAAAUUAUGUUCCUCUCAAUAUCAAUUUUUUUGUGCAUUGAUGAA